UCUGUUGUGACAUGAGCAACUUGACGUAUUAGCCACGCCUCCGAUCAAAAAUCUUCCCUAGUGGGGAUGGGAGGGGAUCAAAACAACUCUGAGGAAACACUGGGAACGACACGAACCGUGUAAUGAGGAACCGGUAAACAAAGCGCUGGAGUGCAGCAGGUGUGAAAGUAAGACUCGUUUCCAAAACGUUUCCUCGGCUUUUCUGCAAGCGAAUCAAGCGGAUCGUGUUGAGGAAUAGAUGUAGAAAAGAAAGAGCUAAAAUGGCCGCCAGUGCGGUCAACUCUCGCCGCGUACCCAGUGGUGAUGUGGAUGAAAAAGUGUUAGCUGAUGCCAUUAAGAUGACAAAUAUUGCUGUCAACCUGUGUUUGUCAAACAAGUUCCUUCAAGCACAAGCUAAACUGGAACCAUGGAUAAAUGAAAGCAUGUACCAUGCUCUUGGUUACAGCACCAUCAUGUAUCUCCAGGCUAUGAUGACAUUUGAACCU
This is a long non-coding RNA of Pocillopora damicornis (cauliflower coral), 485 nucleotides long. Lineage: Eukaryota; Metazoa; Cnidaria; Anthozoa; Scleractinia; Pocilloporidae. The record is from RefSeq and is a predicted model, not a curated record.